Molecule: long non-coding RNA, 650 nt
Organism: Otolemur garnettii (small-eared galago)
Lineage: Eukaryota; Metazoa; Chordata; Mammalia; Primates; Galagidae
Exons: 3
Source: RefSeq, a predicted model, not a curated record
UUUUGGGAAAGCUCUUUGAGAAGAGAGGUAGGUGGGGGAUGAUGGAUACGACUUUGCCCUCAUCCUUUUAGGGCGUGACGCAUUGAUAGCAUCACAGAAGCAACCUCAGCCCCCAGAGUGGCCUUGAAGAACACGGAUUUGUCGCUGUUCGUGAUGAUUCCUUUUCUCCUUCCCUGACUUGUUUAGUCUGGGUUCUGACCCCUGGUGAUCCCCUAUGGUGGUCAGGUGAGGACUGCUAUCCCCAUUGUACUGAUGAAGAAGUAGACCUGUGCAGAGGUGAAUGAUGAGCCAACCAAUCGCCAUCUGUCCAUGACCUUGUAGCAUUUUCUGUCAUCAGUCCCAGUAGGAGUGUCCGAGCUUAUGGUGGGUAGGACAGACAGGCCGUCCUGAGUAAGCCAGUGUUCCAGAAGCAGAGAGAAGCUCAGUGUCUUGGUUGACAUGACUGUGCUGGAAGCAAAAAUAAGACUCUGGGCCUCUUGACUGCCUGUCCUUUCUUCUCCUCUUUUCUCUUCUUACUUCCAAAGCCCUAGGUGAUGUUGGUUGAUGCCUCCUCUCAUCAUAGAAUACAGGUAGAGUCAUCCUUCCUUUUCUCUCCAGGAAAUACGCCCAUCUAAUCCUCUGCUGUAUCCCAUUGCCUGGAACUGUGUCUG